CCUCUUUGGAGCCUGAGCACUUUUACGCUCAAAACAGAAGCAGGCCAUCUAUCCCCUUUAAUAUUUAGCUCCAUCAGUGCUAAUAUGGCAUCAUGGCUGUAUUGAUAGGUUCUCACAUAAAGGCUCCAUUUAUUGCUCCGUGACAUUUUUUGAUGGUGGGAAUUAAUUAUUCACAGGUUAGGAUUAAGGUAGACACACGCUCAGGGAGAUAGGCUGUGGCUACUGCUGGAGGGUCAAUAAACUCUCCCAACAAACAAAAUACAAAGCAGAGCUGUUCAGGGUCGAUUACAGAAAUAGAAGGGUUUUUUUUUAAAAAAAAAAUGAAAAAGAUUUAAUAAAUGAAACCGUGACAACAGUUAUGUUUGUUGGCAUAAAGGGGGGUGGGAAGUGUAGGACUGCAGGCUUUGACAAACGGCUGUGUGGACAUUUCAACGUGCAAUACCCCGGGAAGGAGCAGCAGAGCGGUGCGCAGAGAGCCAAGGCAUUCGCCGUCUCCAAGUCUCUCUCACACUCUGUAAACACAACCAGCCCGGCAGACUGCUAUUGAAGACUGAUAUUUUCAUAAGCUAAAUAUUGUCGUUCACAUUGAUUUGUGCACUAACGCUUGACUUUUUUUUCAUCCUCCUUCUUUGGACAACCAUGGAAAAUAUGUGAUUUGCCCCGGAGGAGAGUGAUGUAAACACCCGAAGAGCGUGUGAAAAUAGGAGAAGCUAAUUAUGCGUGUCCAAUGUACGGCUCCACAGACACACAUCCUUCCCUAUAAAACUUGCGGCAAUGACUCCCAACGACGUGAAAUUUUAAGCUCUUUUCUUCUGUGAUAAAUUUACUCGAGUAAUUAAUGAACGCUAUAAACACGAGGCUUCAUAAGUGACAAUAUUUAGGUUAUUAAAUCUGCUUAAUAACAACUUUUUUUUUAUGUGGCAUUACACAAGUCGGUGUUUAAUUUUCCAAUUUCAUUUUAAUCAUCAUUCACUCAAUGGUUAAUUAAAAUUAAUUUUCCUCAUAAACAAGACAUGUGCCAACCUAAACUCCCCAGCUUAUAACCUGACGGCGUUUACAAGGAAGAUACCUCCAGGAGGACACCUAACACAGACAAUUAGACUUUUUUAAGUAGUUUUAUGUUUCUUCACGUUAAAGCUCUUUUCAGGUGCACAACUCCCGCGCGUUUGAGAGAGAAAAGAAAAUCAGUAGAUGGCAUUAACAGGCGGUAAAAUUUCAUCUGGUGGUGUCAAAUUGAGGUCAGUUUAGGGUUAAAGCUCUCGGUGUCCGUGUGGGACAUGGCCAGCUGCGUUUGGAUUCAUUAGGGGGGGGAGAGGAUCCAUUUCAAGGAAAACACUACUGGGACAGUCACCAGGCUAAAGAUCCACUGCAUGUCACAUCCUAAGGUGCACCAGGACCGCCUGCGCGCCACCCGAGCACCAGCACUCCAAGUCCCACUCCUCUGUUUACUCUUUGCGGGACUUACAAUCCCUCUCCCCCUCUCCUGCCCUGCAGGGCUCGGUUGUUCACACACACAAGCCUGUUGCUAAAUAUGGAGAGAAAUGCAUUGUUGAUUUAAUUCCCUCAAAAAGAUCACUGAUAUGAAACGAGCUUCAAAUCCUCUUAGUGACCUUAAACACUCCUGAAGAAACAAUUGGCCCUCAACCGCAGGAACAAAUAAAAUCGCCCUAAUCUUGUUUGUAACUUUGUUCUUUCUUUGGCCCACUUCAGUAUGAGAUUAUGCAAAUUAGGAAAGCUAAUGUAUAGAGAGGUUGAGAUAAGACAGGCUCAUGGACUGACUGCAGGAGAAGCGCGGAAAAUAAAAACCUUGCAGUGUCUUUUUGUUUGUUUGCACCAGUUCCUUAAAUUUAUAAUAAUAAAAAAAUAAUCACGUAAUUUGGCAGAAUUUUACUUCAGCAUUUAAUUUUGCGCUCAAUAAAAACAAGGCAGUUCGACAUUUUCCCGGUGUCUCCAAUUCCACAGAAGACUGUUAAUUAAUCCAUAAUUACCAGGUCCAUAUACUUUGCCAUUAUUUAUUUAUUUAUUACAUAUUUUAUAUUAUUUUAUUCAUGAUUUGUUUAGGAUAUUUUGGCCCGCUUUUUUGUUUCCUUCUUUCACAAAGCAUUACCUCAGUCCUCUGCGUCUGAACUCUUUUUGACCCCGGAGUGAAAUGUGACUAUAGGGUUUCAGAAAGCGGAGUGAGCAACUCAAAUACUUGUAAAAGUUUCGCGACUAACUGUAAAUUCUUCAGCUCCAAAGCCUCAUUUUCCCCUCCACCGAUUCUCGGAGCCUGGUGUCAGAGGGUUAGUAAAGGGUGGAGGGGAGAGAGAGGAAGAGAGAGAGAGAGAGAGGAGACCAAGACAAAACGUAACCGCGGCUUUCCCCCCUCCUCACGGGCUCGGCAUGAAAUAUGCUGCCCUCUAGCGACACCUGGCGGCCACAGCGAAAUCCGAGCCGUCGGAAGGUUUGCCACAAACGCGAGAAGGCCCACAAAAAUACGCCAAACUUAAUUAAGCACAUUAACACGAAAUAAAUCCCCAGAAAAAUGACCACGCAAAUGUGUUUUAAAAUUAAAAUUAAAGGUAGCUCCAUCAAACUGUUUAUUCUUGAGGUACCGGAGGCCAUAAAUCAAAAACUGAACUUUAUAAAAUGCCAUUUUUUUUGUUUUAGUGAUUUAAUCUAAAUAGUGCACGCAUUUUCUUUUUUUAUAACCUGCCAUUUGUUUUCUUGUGGUGCUUCAAAAAUAAAUUAAGUUCAAAUGUCUGCGUCCUUUAUAUUUAAUUCUAUUAUAAGACGGUCACUGUGGGACAGAAAACAGGGGAAAAAAGUUGGCCUUUAUCAGCCUUAGCCUGCAUUUAAUUUAAGGCACCGCGUAUAUUUUGAGUUAUCGAGUUUAUCUGAUUUUUUAUUUGUUUCUUUUUUUUUAGCCAAUUUUGAAAUUAACUCUGCAGCCACAUAAAUCUAAAUAAACUGGACAAAGAAAACCAACAGCACGUAAUAAGAACGCUCAUGUGGUUAUUUUAAUAAUAAUAGAAUCUGAAAAUCCGUUUUUUUUCUGCUAUAAGCGAUUUUGAAAUAAACUAAUAAACAAAUUCAACGUUUUACAGGCUUUUACGCAAGAGAGGCACAAAAAAGUCAGCAAAUCGAUUCAUAUCACGAUUCUGGAAACAACCUCAGCACCUAAAAAACUAUUUAUAAAAUAUUAAUGCUGGAAAAUGAUUUAUUUUUCAUUCUUCUUUUUGCAGGAAAAAGAUCUUUCACGUAUAAAAUUAUAUAUUGACCUAUUUCCCCAACGCAUUUUCCCCAUACAUGUAUGUAUAAAUACUUUUUUCCCCCUUUCCCCCCCCCUUGUCAAACUACACAAACUACUAAUAUUUCCCCUCCUCCGUGCGUGCAGCCGCUCUGCAGAGAGAGUCUCAGCUCUGCUCGGCUGUGACACAGUUUGAGCAGGUCACCGCCGAGAUUAGAGCCCGUCGUUAACGCCUGCUCGGAUACACCAAAUGCUGAUUUAAUGAGCUUGCAUUGGGUGUUUGUCCCAGAAUACCUGGUGUGCAUGCGUUAGUAACGCCACAGACCGUAAUCCCUGUGUUUUCCCUUGAACACGUGGCUUUAGGGACAACCUAAAAACACUGCAAAGAUUUGACUAUGAUUUCUUUUUCAUUUCUUUCAUUUUAUUUUAUUUCAGUCAGCCUGAACAGGUCGAAGCCUCUAAGUCCCGUAUCCAGCCACAUUACCACAUGUAAUUGAGAGAAGUUUAAGUGGAGGCCGGGAAACCGAGGAGUUAAUAGCGGUGACCCUCUUGCUGUGCCUCUGUCGCUCAUCAUUUAUCAGGCUUAAGGGGCUUAAACAGGCGACGCAGACCCACCUUUUAUUACAUAUCAAACCCUCUCUCCCUUAUCUGCAUUAUAGGAAAUACAUGCAUCGUUGGCCGUUAUGCGGAUUUGGAAAUAGAAACACGUCCAAUAAAGUCGCCCUCCUCCGCUGAUCAGAGGAAACGUGUCUUUAGGCGCCACAGAGACACCCCAGCGGUUUAAGUCUUUAUUAAAUUAUCUUAAUUCCCCUCUCCACUUUGAAACGAAUAUAAAUGUGGCUCUUCUGUUGUUUGUCCAGCGCGGAAGAGAGGAAACGUGAGUGCGGAGGUCCGCCACGGUUCAAGUAUGAUUAGGAGGCGAAUAAAACUGUAAAUGCAGACUCCAAGCGCCUGCAAACCUGCCCAGAGCGGAUAUAACGCGCACGACGUUAAAACUCGAGUGUGGCAGAUUUUUUUUCUUUUCCUUUUUUAUUCAAAAUAUCAAAAUCUAAAUAUUACAAAUAUAAAUAUAUAUGUGUGUGUGUGUGUGUGUGUGUGUGUAUGUAUGUACACAGGUGGCAGCUGCUUUAUUGGAAAAAUUAAUUAAAGGUGAGAAAAAGGCAAAAAACUUCCCCAAGACAAGAUAUAUUUAGAGGCUCACGUGACUUCCGUCAUUCUUCUUUAUUUAUAGCGAGCUUUAAUGAAUUAGUACACAGGCAGACCAUUACAAUACACGCUCCCUUUAUCCGGUCACGGCUUUUCUUGAGAUUUGUGUGCGCGUGUGUGUAGAAAAAAAAUGCAUUUAUUACUCAGAAUUCUAUCGAUAAAAUUCCUCUUUAAUAUUCCGGUAUCCCUAUAGGAAAAGGGAUUUAUUAUUUUAUUUUUAUUUAUUUUUAUUUAUUGCUGGCACAGGCUUUCAGUUAAACUUCAGGUCCAUGCCUCAGUUGUCUGCUGGUUUCCUCUGAGGAGAGCUCAGUUAGUCAGCCUGAACGCAGCUGCAUUCACGUGGUGCGACGGGGUUUGAUAUUCCAGUCACACAACAGAGUAAACACUGCUCUCUUAUUCAAUAAACAUCAUUGAUAAGGACCCCAUAUCAAAGCCACUUGAAAUACUGAACCUAAGCAUCAGCAUUUAUUUUUUACUUUAUUAAUGAAGACAUUGCAUUUAUUGUUGUUUACACAUAUAUUUUAGCCUGUAUCAUAAAUAGCCUUUAUUUAAAAAAUUGUUUUGUUUUUUUGUCUGAAAAUCAAUGUAUUGUGUAUUUUGUGAUUCUGAUGCCUUAUAUAUAAAUUCUUGAAUCUAAAUGCAAUUAAAAUGUUUCAAAACUCUCA
Oreochromis aureus is the source of this 5100-nucleotide long non-coding RNA. Lineage: Eukaryota; Metazoa; Chordata; Actinopteri; Cichliformes; Cichlidae. The record is from Ensembl.